This 1192-nucleotide long non-coding RNA is filed under the name Anas platyrhynchos platyrhynchos (common mallard). Its description in RNAcentral is "lncRNA (ENSAPLG00000021547.1)". Lineage: Eukaryota; Metazoa; Chordata; Aves; Anseriformes; Anatidae. The record is from RNAcentral.
AGACAGAGCUAUGCAGUCUUCAAUAAUACAGUAAAAUUGUACUUGUGCCAUGAAAAAGCUGUGCAGUGCUUACUCCAAACCUUAAGUGAAACUGGUUCUCCACAAUCUGUAACAUACAUGUAUAUCCCAGUGUAUUUAGGAGGACCGGAAGGACCCCAAAGUAAUCUUUGCUGCACCUCUGCUUAUGUUUUCUCAAUAUACCUUUGGGGCAUGUUACUGAAAGACAAUUUUUAGUGUUUUAUAAAAACGUCUGUAGAAAUUCAGUUUGGGAAAAGUUUCCCUCUCAUGUGACAUGAUUUGUUCUCUAUACACUCUGCCUGUGAAGCUACAGCUGCAGUGAUUUGGAAACCGUAGGUAAAAAGGCGUGGAAUGUUUUACAGUCACAAUUUUUCCCUCAUUUGUGCCAGGAGCAAGGACAAACUGCGGGAGCCAUCUGCCUUCCCCCAGCCUGUCUGGAGCGGGAAGAGCAGCAGCCAAGAAGCUGUGUGAUGGCUCUGCCCGUCAUAGCCCUGGCCCUUUUCGUCUCAGCCAUAGGGAAGGAGGCAGCAAAUCCUGCUUCUGGCAGCACCCAGCAAUGUCACUGUGCUCCUGACUGCAGUGCAAGCAUUCCUGUCUCAUCUGAAUAAUGGGUUAAUGAUGGGUUCUGUGCUUAAAAUUGCUUAAUGUACAUAAAAGUCUUGAGUGCUUUGACACAUGCUUUACAAGUAUCAGUAGGAGGCGUAAGUUAUAAAAGAUAACCAAGACAGGGAAAGGAUUUAUUUAUUUAUUUAUUUAUUUUUAUUUUCCAGAACAGCAACAAAUACCAUGACCAGUAAGAACUAACUUUGGCCUAGUCUUCUCAUCUAGUACCACACAGCAUUGUGGCAGAGCAGUGCUCUAUAACAAGAAGCGCUGAGCUUAUUGCACAAAGACUCAGGACUGAAGUGCUCCAGAGCUGCCCUGGUCCCCAGCUGCCAGAGUCCACCUGGCAGCUAAACAAGCAGUGGGCUCCUCCUCUCCUGGAGACAAACCCGGUCCUCAGGCUCACUCCCCAGCUAAGACAUCUGUAUCCUGAAAAUAGGCUGAAGAUUUCUUAUUAUGUUGUUUCUCUGGCUGUUUGUGUAAGUAAAUCUUGUAGUCAGGCAAUGCAUGAACAGUUUGGCACAUAUAAUUUUCUCAAUGUAUUCAGAUGUAGUGCCCUGAAUACUAAGCA